AAUAGAUACCCGGGUAGUCCACGCCGUAAACGAUGUCGACUUGGAGGUUGUUCCCUUGAGGAGUGGCUUCCGGAGCUAACGCGUUAAGUCGACCGCCUGGGGAGUACGGCCGCAAGGUUAAAACUCAAAUGAAUUGACGGGGCCCGCACAAGCGGUGGAGCAUGUGGUUUAAUUCGAUGCAACGCGAAGAACCUUACCUACUCUUGACAUCCACGGAACUUUUCAGAGAUGAAUUGGUGCCUUCGGGAACCGUGAGACAGGUGCUGCAUGGCUGUCGUCAGCUCGUGUUGUGAAAUGUUGGGCUAAGUCCCGCAACGAGCGCAACCCUUAUCCUUUGUUGCCAGCGGUUAGGCCGGGAACUCAAAGGGGACUGCCAGUGAUAAACUGGAGGAAGGUGGGGAUGACGUCAAGUCAUCAUGGCCCUUACGAGUAGGGCUACACACGUGCUACAAUGGCGCAUACAAAGAGAAGCGACCUCGCGAGAGCAAGCGGACCUCAUAAAGUGCGUCGUAGUCCGGAUUGGAGUCUGCAACUCGACUCC
This 541-nucleotide ribosomal RNA is filed under the name uncultured bacterium. Its description in RNAcentral is "bacterial SSU rRNA". It matches the Rfam family "Bacterial small subunit ribosomal RNA", at positions 777 to 1319 of the family's 1533-position model. The record is from RNAcentral.